GAUGAACGCUGGCGGCGUGCCUAAUACAUGCAAGUCGAGCGAACAGACGAGGAGCUUGCUCCUCUGACGUUAGCGGCGGACGGGUGAGUAACACGUGGAUAACCUACCUAUAAGACUGGGAUAACUUCGGGAAACCGGAGCUAAUACCGGAUAAUAUAUUGAACCGCAUGGUUCAAUAGUGAAAGACGGUUUUGCUGUCACUUAUAGAUGGAUCCGCGCCGCAUUAGCUAGUUGGUAAGGUAACGGCUUACCAAGGCGACGAUGCGUAGCCGACCUGAGCGGGUGAUCGGCCACACGGGAACUGAGACACGGUCCAGACUCCUACGGGAGGCAGCAGUAGGGAAUCUUCCGCAAUGGGCGAAAGCUUGACGGAGCAACGCCGCGUGAGUGAUGAAGGUCUUCGGAUCGUAAAACUCUGUUAUUAGGGAAGAACAAAUGUGUAAGUAACUAUGCACGUCUUGACGGUACCUAAUCAGAAAGCCACGGCUAACUACGUG
RNAcentral lists this ribosomal RNA (497 nucleotides) under uncultured bacterium. RNAcentral describes it as "partial 16S ribosomal RNA". It matches the Rfam family "Bacterial small subunit ribosomal RNA", at positions 28 to 507 of the family's 1533-position model. The record is from RNAcentral.